RNAcentral lists this ribosomal RNA (159 nucleotides) under Campylopus thwaitesii. Its description in RNAcentral is "5.8S ribosomal RNA". The stretch from base 1 to 139 matches the Rfam family "5.8S ribosomal RNA". Rfam says of the family: 5.8S ribosomal RNA (5.8S rRNA) is a component of the large subunit of the eukaryotic ribosome. It is transcribed by RNA polymerase I as part of the 45S precursor that also contains 18S and 28S rRNA. The record is from RNAcentral. Lineage: Eukaryota; Viridiplantae; Streptophyta; Bryopsida; Dicranales; Leucobryaceae.
AACGGAUAUCUUGGCUCGCAACGAUGAAGAACGCAGCGAAAUGCGAUACGUAGUGUGAAUUGCAGAAUUCCGCGACAUCGAGUCUUUGAACGCAAGUUGCGCCCGGGGCUCGACCCAGGGCAUUUCUGCCAGAGUCACCGCGACACCCACCAAUUUUUC